This 134-nucleotide microRNA precursor is filed under the name Podarcis lilfordi (Lilford's wall lizard). Lineage: Eukaryota; Metazoa; Chordata; Lepidosauria; Squamata; Lacertidae. The record is from RNAcentral.
UGUCCAGUAGCACCUUAGAGACCAACUAAGUUUGUUCUUGGUAUAAGCUUUCAUGUUCAUGCACACUUCUUCAGAUACACAUGAAAGCUUAUACCAAGAACAAACUUAGUUGGUCUCUAAGGUGCUACUGGACA